This is a small nucleolar RNA of Eupeodes corollae, 67 nucleotides long. Lineage: Eukaryota; Metazoa; Arthropoda; Insecta; Diptera; Syrphidae. The record is from RefSeq and is a predicted model, not a curated record.
AUUACAAUGAUGAUUAGUUACCGCCCCAGUCUGAACGUUUAUGUCGAUUGGUUUUUUAAGAUCUGAA